This 405-nucleotide ribosomal RNA is filed under the name uncultured bacterium. RNAcentral's name for it is "partial 16S ribosomal RNA". It matches the Rfam family "Bacterial small subunit ribosomal RNA", at positions 28 to 526 of the family's 1533-position model. The record is from RNAcentral.
GACGAACGCUGGCGGCGUGCUGAACACAUGCAAGUCGAGCGGAGCGGCGAACGGGUGAGUAACGCGUGAGUAACUGCCCCCCUCUCUGUGAUAACAGUUGGAAACGGCUGCCAAUACCGGAUAGUGGGGGAUGACUCGCGUCCUAUCAGCUUGUUGGUGGGGUAGUGGCCUACCAAGGCGACGACGGGUAGCCGGCAUUAGAGGGCGAGCGGCCACAAUGGGCUGGGAUACGGCCCAAUAUCGUAAGGGAGGCAGCAGUGGGGAAUAAUGCACAGUAGGGGAAACGCUGAUGCAGCAACGCCGCGUGCGAGAUGACGGACUUCAGGUUGUAAACCGCUUUCAGCCAUGACGCGGUAGUGUCAGAAGAGGCACCGGCUAACUACGUGCCAGCAGCCGCGGUAAUAC